Molecule: ribosomal RNA, 250 nt
Filed under: uncultured Bacilli bacterium
Lineage: Bacteria; Bacillati; Bacillota; Bacilli
Description: partial 16S ribosomal RNA
Rfam family: Bacterial small subunit ribosomal RNA
Source: RNAcentral
UACGUAGGGGGCGAGCGUUGUCCGGAAUCACUGGGCGUAAAGCGCGCGCAGGCGGCUUCUUAAGUCUGGUGUGAAAGCCCACGGCUCAACCGUGGAGAUGCACUGGAAACUGGGGAGCUUGAGUGCAGGAGAGGGAAGCGGAAUUCCACGUGUAGCGGUGAAAUGCGUAGAGAUGUGGAGGAACACCAGUGGCGAAGGCGGCUUCCUGGCCUGUAACUGACGCUGAGGCGCGAAAGCGUGGGGAGCGAAC